AUGCACGCUGGCGGCGUGCCUCAUCCAUGCAAGUCGCGCGCACAGACGAGGAGCUUGCUCCUCUGACGUUAGCGGCGGACGGGUGAGUAACACGUGGAUAACCUACCUAUAAGACUGGGAUAACUUCGGGAAACCGGAGCUAAUACCGGAUAAUAUAUUGAACCGCAUGGUUCAAUAGUGAAAGACGGUUUUGCUGUCACUUAUAGAUGGAUCCGCGCCGCAUUAGCUAGUUGGUAAGGUAACGGCUUACCAAGGCAACGAUGCGUAGCCGACCUGAGAGGGUGAUCGGCCACACUGGAACUGAGACACGGUCCAGACUCAGACGGGAGGCAGCAGUAGGGAAUCUGCCGCAAUGGGCGAAAGCUUGACGGAGCAACGCCGCGUGAGUGAUGAAGGUCUUCGGAUCGUAAAACUCUGUUAUUAGGGAAGAACAAAUGUGUAAGUAACGAUGCACGUCUUGACGGUACCUAAGCAGAAAGCCACGGCUAACUACGU
RNAcentral lists this ribosomal RNA (495 nucleotides) under uncultured bacterium. RNAcentral describes it as "partial 16S ribosomal RNA". It matches the Rfam family "Bacterial small subunit ribosomal RNA", at positions 29 to 506 of the family's 1533-position model. The record is from RNAcentral.